Stegostoma tigrinum is the source of this 178-nucleotide long non-coding RNA. RefSeq lists it as uncharacterized. NCBI's taxonomy places the organism in Eukaryota, Metazoa, Chordata, Chondrichthyes, Orectolobiformes, Stegostomatidae. The record is from RefSeq and is a predicted model, not a curated record. The transcript has 3 exons.
UACCUGGGAACUUUCUUCACGGACUUAACAAAAUUGGAUUCGGCUUUCCCCAAUUAUCGUUUCAAUGGCUUGAUCAACUUCGACAAGAGACGAAAGGAAUAUGAAAUCAUUUCGUGUCUUAAAUAUAUGCAGUUUGCUUGUCAAUGUUACAUCAUUCGCCCAGACGAGAAGUUUCUGG